UACAGAGGGUGCAAGCGUUAAUCGGAAUUACUGGGCGUAAAGCGCGCGUAGGUGGUUUGUUAAGUUGGAUGUGAAAUCCCCGGGCUCAACCUGGGAACUGCAUCCAAAACUGGCAAGCUAGAGUAGGGCAGAGGGUGGUGGAAUUUCCUGUGUAGCGGUGAAAUGCGUAGAUAUAGGAAGGAACACCAGUGGCGAAGGCGACCACCUGGGCUCAUACUGACACUGAGGUGCGAAAGCGUGGGGAGCAACCAGG
Molecule: ribosomal RNA, 253 nt
Filed under: uncultured bacterium
Lineage: Bacteria
Description: partial 16S ribosomal RNA
Rfam family: Bacterial small subunit ribosomal RNA
Source: RNAcentral